GGUAAAACGUAGGAGGCAAGCGUUAUCCGGAUUUACUGGGCGUAAAGCGCAUGCAGGCGGUUUCUUAAGUCGGACGUGAAAGCUCCUGGCUCAACUAGGAGAGGUCGUUCGAAACUAGGGAACUGNAGGAUGGUAGAGGAGAGUGGAAUUCCCGGUGUAGUGGUGAAAUGCGUAGAUAUCGGGAGGAACACCAGUGGCGAAGGCGGCUCUCUGGGCCAUUCCUGACGCUAAGAUGCGAAAGCUAGGGGAGAGAACGGGAUUAGAAACCCCGGUAUUCCUAGCCGUAAACGAUGUCAACUAGGUGUAGGGGGUAUCCAACCCCUCUGUGCUGUAGCUAACGCGUUAAGUUGACCGCCUGGGGACUACGGCCGCAAGGCUAAAACUCAAAGGAAUUGACGGGGACCCGCACAAGCAGCGGAGCGUGUGGUUUAAUUCGAGGCUACGCGAAGAACCUUACCAGGGUUUGACAUAUCGGUGGUAGGAAAGUGAAAGCUGACCGACCCUUCGGGGAGCCGAUACAGGUGCUGCAUGGCUGUCGUCAGCUCGUGCCGUGAGGUGUUAGGUUAAGUCCUGUAACGAGCGCAACCCUCGUCGCUAGUUAUACGUGUCUAGCGAGACUGCCGGUGAUAAGCCGGAGGAAGGUGAGGAUGACGUCAAGUCAGCAUGGCCUUUAUAUCCUGGGCUACACACACGCUACAAUGGCCGGUACAAUGGGUUGCUAAGCCGCGAGGCGGAGCCAAUCCCCCAAAGCCGGUCUCAGUUCGGAUUGUAGGCUGCAACUCGCCUGCAUGAAGUCGGAGUUGCUAGUAACCGCACGUCAGCACAGUGCGGUGAAUACGUUCCCGGGUCUUGUACACACCGCCCGUCACGUCAUGGAAGUUGGCAACGCCUGAAGUCGGUGGGCUAACCCUAACGGGAGGCAGCCGC
RNAcentral lists this ribosomal RNA (927 nucleotides) under uncultured Chloroflexota bacterium. Its description in RNAcentral is "bacterial SSU rRNA". It matches the Rfam family "Bacterial small subunit ribosomal RNA", at positions 519 to 1456 of the family's 1533-position model. The record is from RNAcentral. Lineage: Bacteria; Bacillati; Chloroflexota.